RNAcentral lists this ribosomal RNA (253 nucleotides) under uncultured bacterium. RNAcentral's name for it is "partial 16S ribosomal RNA". It matches the Rfam family "Bacterial small subunit ribosomal RNA", at positions 524 to 776 of the family's 1533-position model. The record is from RNAcentral.
UACGGGGGGGGCAUGCGUUGUUCGGAAUUACUGGGCGUAAAGGGCGCGUAGGCGGCCUUCUAAGUCGGACGUGAAAUCCCUCGGCUUAACCGAGGAACUGCGUCCGAUACUGAAAGGCUUGAAUCCGGGAGAGGGAUGUGGAAUUCCAGGUGUAGCGGUGAAAUGCGUAGAUAUCUGGAGGAACACCGGUGGCGAAGGCGGCAUCCUGGACCGGUAUUGACGCUGAGGCGCGAAAGCUAGGGGAGCAAACGGG